AAGAGCCCGGUGACGAGAGAUCGUCACGCCGGGAUCUGUGGGAGCCCGGGGGUGCGAUUCCCCCGGGCCACCCGAC
Molecule: non-coding RNA, 76 nt
Filed under: Actinomycetospora cinnamomea
Lineage: Bacteria; Bacillati; Actinomycetota; Actinomycetes; Pseudonocardiales; Pseudonocardiaceae
Source: RNAcentral